GUUUGAUCAUGGCUCAGAUUGAACGCUGGCGGCAGGCUUAACACAUGCAAGUCGAGCGGGGGAAGGUAGCUUGCUACUGGACCUAGCGGCGGACGGGUGAGUAAUGCUUAGGAAUCUGCCUAUUAGUGGGGGACAACAUCUCGAAAGGGAUGCUAAUACCGCAUACGUCCUACGGGAGAAAGCAGGGGAUCUUCGGACCUUGCGCUAAUAGAUGAGCCUAAGUCGGAUUAGCUAGUUGGUGGGGUAAAGGCCUACCAAGGCGACGAUCUGUAGCGGGUCUGAGAGGAUGAUCCGCCACACUGGGACUGAGACACGGCCCAGACUCCUACGGGAGGCAGCAGUGGGGAAUAUUGGACA
RNAcentral lists this ribosomal RNA (357 nucleotides) under Acinetobacter baumannii. RNAcentral describes it as "bacterial SSU rRNA". It matches the Rfam family "Bacterial small subunit ribosomal RNA", at positions 11 to 370 of the family's 1533-position model. The record is from RNAcentral. Lineage: Bacteria; Pseudomonadati; Pseudomonadota; Gammaproteobacteria; Moraxellales; Moraxellaceae.